UGCCUGGAGUUACGGGAUUGUGAUGU
Molecule: non-coding RNA, 26 nt
Filed under: Homo sapiens (human)
Lineage: Eukaryota; Metazoa; Chordata; Mammalia; Primates; Hominidae
Source: RNAcentral